RNAcentral lists this ribosomal RNA (271 nucleotides) under uncultured prokaryote. RNAcentral describes it as "partial 16S ribosomal RNA". It matches the Rfam family "Bacterial small subunit ribosomal RNA", at positions 524 to 794 of the family's 1533-position model. The record is from RNAcentral.
UACGUAGGUGGCGAGCGUUGUCCGGAAUUACUGGGUGUAAAGGGCGUGUAGGCGGGGAAGCAAGUCAGAUGUGAAAUCCCGGGGCUCAACUCCGGAGUUGCAUCUGAAACUGUUUUUCUUGAGUGCUGGAGAGGAAAGCGGAAUUCCUAGUGUAGCGGUGAAAUGCGUAGAUAUUAGGAGGAACACCAGUGGCGAAGGCGGCCUUCUGGACAGUAACUGACGCUGAGGCGCGAAAGCGUGGGGAGCAAACAGGAUUAGAUACCCCUGUAGU